ACGCAUUUAUUAGAUAAAAAGCCAGUUCAUGCUUUUAUAGUAUGAAAAUUGGUGAUUUAUAAUAACUUAGCAAAUCGCAAAGUGAAAACAGGCGAUAAAUCAUUCAAGUUUCUGACCUAUCAGCUUUCGACGGUAUGGUAUUGGCUUACCGUGGCAGUGACGGUUAACGGGGGAUUAGGGUUCGAUUCCGGAGAGGGAGCCUGAGAAACGGCUACCACAUCUAAGGAAGGCAGCAGGCGCGCAAAUUACCCAAUUCUAACAGUUUGAGAGAGGUAGUAACAAGAAAUAACAAUACAAGGCAGUUAAAAUGCUUUGUAAUUGGAAUGAUAGAAAUUUAAACCCUUUUUAAAGUAUCAAUUGGAGGGCAAGUCUGGUGCCAGCAGCCGCGGUAAUUCCAGCUCCAAUAGCGUAUAUUAAAAUUGUUGCAGUUAAAAAGCUCGUAGUUGAAGUUCUGCUGAAAGUAACCGGUCUGCUUUUAAUAAAAGUGGUAUCUUGGUAUGUAUUUAGCAAUGAUGUCCUUUGAAGUGUUUUUUACUUUAUUGUAAUAAAGCAUAUUCAGGACUUUUACUUUGAGAAAAUUAGAGUGUUUCUAGCAGGCUAACGCUUUGAAUACUGCAGCAUGGAAUAAUAAGA
RNAcentral lists this ribosomal RNA (633 nucleotides) under Hepatozoon canis. RNAcentral describes it as "bacterial SSU rRNA". It matches the Rfam family "Eukaryotic small subunit ribosomal RNA", at positions 201 to 822 of the family's 1831-position model. Lineage: Eukaryota; Apicomplexa; Hepatozoidae. The record is from RNAcentral.